AUCCGGCUGACGACGAGUCUCAAAUAGGACGAAACGCGCGUCAAACUGGAU
Schistosoma mattheei is the source of this 51-nucleotide non-coding RNA. The record is from Rfam. Lineage: Eukaryota; Metazoa; Platyhelminthes; Trematoda; Strigeidida; Schistosomatidae.